Molecule: ribosomal RNA, 181 nt
Filed under: Penicillium parvum
Lineage: Eukaryota; Fungi; Ascomycota; Eurotiomycetes; Eurotiales; Aspergillaceae
Description: partial large subunit ribosomal RNA
Source: RNAcentral
AAAAGCACUUUGAAAAGAGAGUUAAAAAGCACGUGAAAUUGUUGAAAGGGAAGCGCUUGCGACCAGACUCGCCCGCGGGGUUCAGCCGGUAUUCGUACCGGUGUACUAUCCCCGUGGGCGGGCCAGCGUCGGUUUGGGCGGCCGGUCAAAGGCCCUACGGAAUGUAACGCUACUCGGGGCG